This 6587-nucleotide long non-coding RNA is filed under the name Sus scrofa (pig). RNAcentral's name for it is "lncRNA (ENSSSCG00000058182.1)". Lineage: Eukaryota; Metazoa; Chordata; Mammalia; Artiodactyla; Suidae. The record is from RNAcentral.
GUAAUCCAGUCAUGAGUAAGCAUUUUCUAAUGUCCAUUAUAUCCCUUUAGAUAUUACUUAAACCAAUAUUAUAAGUAGAUAACCUGUAUUAGUAUUUUUGUCUGUAUGUCCUAGCACUGUUCAACAGCAAAUUUUUCUAGUUCUUGUUGAUUUUUAUUUGUUAUACAAUGGAAGCACAAUGUUAUAAGGAAAGGUAAUUUUAAGCUAACAACCAGUGCACAGCCUCAGGUUUUAAAUUACAACCACAGUUGAAUAAUAACCUAAAAAUAAACUCUUAGUUUGCUAAAAAUUUACAAAUUUUAAUUUGGCAGUUCCAGAGCUGCUUACCUAUGUUGGUUUGCCAAAAAGAAGUGUUUAAGAUAUGUUUUCUGUAUAAAAUAACUAAUUCUUUAUAUUAAAUUCCUGUCUAUGCAUUUUGUGAGGUACAAACUUAUGAAACAGUGAGUGAUAGAGAAUUUCUGCCAUGCUUUUAACUCCAAGGUGAAAGUCUCUUUCUCUGGAUUAUUUCUGAAAUUUUGGUGUAUUUAACCAUUAAGAAAUGCUGUAUUCUUAAAUAUGACACCGAGUCAAUCUAAAGUCAUAUUAUUCCUCCUAGUUAAAUACAAUAUUACUAGAUUAGUUCUCAUUAGAUUUAUUAUAUGCUAAAGAUUAAAAAUCCAGUUAGAUAAAAAUUAUUUUCCCAUCCACAAUCAUUGCACCUUUAAGAAGAAAACAAAUAUGACAAUAUGGUAUCUAUACUUGUGAUGUCUGAAAGCAUGAUGGCUUAUGGUUUUAACAAUAAUAUCUUGGAAUUUAUUUGGGGGAAGAAAGAAUGGUUGAGUAUGACAUCAUGUGUUAAUAUCAAAUGAAAGACAAGGGUGCUGUAUCUUAUUUAUCAGAAAAGUAUAAAUCUUUUAAGGACAUUAGAAUUUUUAAUUGUUUGAUUAUUGAAGCAUUUAUCUUGAUUUCUUACAAAAGAAAAAGGACGAUGUCAGUCAAGCAGCACUUUUUCAGAUUAUACAGAACAUAAAUAAUAUGAUGUGGUUGAGUGUUAACAUAAUAAAUCAUAUACAGUAUGACAUUUUAAGGAAAUAAGUCUGCAUUGAUGUGAUUGCAUGCUUGUUUUUACAGUUCACUCCAUACCAUCUGUGGAAAAAUGCAAUAAUAUGUUAAUAUAGUAUGGUAGUUUGAGAGAAUCAGGUAGGUGCUACUAGACACAUUGAAACUAGAAUAGGUUUAUAAACUGUUCAUAUCUUUCAAUGCAUAAUCUUUAGAAAGACUCCACAAAGCAAAAUUCAUCCUAUGAGUACAAAAUGGAAAGGUUAUUAUUACAGAAGUAAGUUGUAUAAACUGCAUCAUCAAUUGCUAUUUAAAGCCUAAUUUCAGGAUGCAUUUACAAAAUUGCUACUCUUCAUCGAUGCCGUAUUUACAUCCCUUUUCAUUUCAUCUGUAUUCUACUUGGCUCCAACUGCUAAAUUGUUGCCUAAAUAACUCAAUCAUUAUUUAUAGCACUGUACAAUUAGAAGAAAUCCAAAAUUGGUUGCAUUUCAAGACUUUUGACUCUUUUAACCCUUUACAGUAAUAUUAAAAACUCAUUAGAACUCUGUAAAAGACACUAAUUGGUACAGUAUGAUUUGUGAGAUCUAAUCAAAUAUUUUGCCAGUGAAAAUAGAUUUGAAUUGAGUAUUAUUUUCAGUUAUUGAAAGAAAAUGACAAUGGAGUUAGAUUUUCUUAUCUUAAAAAUGAUUUGAUUUCUACCAAACAAGGAGAUAAAGUGUGAAAAUUCUGCUCAUUUCUCUAAAAAUCAUAAAAUAGGAAAUGACAUUUCUAAGUGGACCAUGUCAAUUGCAAUGCCUGAAAUGUUUGAACUUCUCUGCCCAGAGAGCCAUAUUCUGUCUUUGCUUAGUGAGCACCGUAGCCACAGAACUCAAUGAAAGGAGUGCAUACACACACACACACACCCCUAGUAGAAUAUGGAACAUUAUUCUUUACCAAAAGUAGAUGUUCUCUGCCAGUGUAUGUUUACAGUGUAAUUUGAUUGUCCUCCAUCAAAAAAGUGUGAACAGCAUUCUUUUUUCUUUUUCUUGUUUCCAUUUUUUGAGUGUCCUAGGUAGAACAAUUAUCAAAAUUAGGAAGAAAAAGGAAUGUUUAUGAGUGUAAGAGCAAAGAGAGAAAGCAUGAGCAAAGUAUUGGUGUGUGUGCGUGUGUGUGUGCGUAUGUGUGUGUGCGUUAGGGAGAAAGAGAAAGAGAGAGAGAGAGAUUUCAACUCGUUUUCUUUUACCAGAGAAUACAAGAAGCAGUUUAAGGAAUCUGAUAUUGGAGUUUAAUCUAGAAACUAGAUGAUCUCACAUUGAUUCAAGAUGCUUAAUCUUGCAUUGAAACCCCUCAAUUAAAAUAACAAAUAGAGAAAGAAAACUAACUUUCCUAAAUAUGGCAAAGACACUAAUGCCUCAUUUAUUUUUAUUUCUUUGUAAAAAUAUAAAUAUCUCAAUUAAAAGGACAGGCUCACUUGUAAUUAUGUACUCAUGAUUGUAACAGCAUUGAGAUUCCAUAUAGGCACAUGUACAGCAGCUGUUUGACGGUGAUGGUUCUUCCAUGUAACAUAGCAGUUAUCGUGUAAUUUAGUGCCACUUACUGCAAAGUGUUACCAAGGGGAACAUUAAAAUACUUUUUCUUUUUUCUUUGGCUAUAAGGAUAAUUCAAUGAAUGAUAAAUGUGGAAUUUCAUAUUAUGUUUUUUAAUUUGGAAAAAAUUCCAAAACUCAUCUCUAACUGCAAAUUCCCCAUCACAUAGUUAAUUACUUAGAGCCCUCUAAAAAUGCCCACUUCAAUUCCCCCUUUGCAAAUAGUAAUCUGUGAUAAAUAUACAAUACAAAACAAAACAAAAAAACAACUGGAAACCACAGUGGAAAUAGAUGAAAACACCUAAUGAGAAUUACUGAGUAAUGCUUUUUAUUAAGUGGCACAAAGUACACACUAAAAACUAUGCAAAAUAUAGGUAACUACAGUGUAUGUACAUGUAAGUAUCUUGUACUUGCUGUGUAUGGAUGUUGGAAACCCAUGUAAUUAUAAUAUGCAUUUUGAAUAUUGGGAAAGAGGAAAUCUUAGUGUAGAUAAUAGAAUUUGUUUUGAAAUAUACACUGGCAAUAUUGAAAUAUACUCAGUGCAAUAUCUGCAAUUCUAUUGCUGGAUACUUAAUGCAAAGGGAUUUUAAAGAAUUCUUCAACAAGAUCUAAAAGAUUGCUAAUCUUCACAUCCCACAUAUUAAAGCAUUAAUUAAAAAUACAACUGCCAUAACAACACUUUAAAUUUUUCACGUUAAUCAUUAAUGUGACACAAAAUUAUCUGGCCUAGUUUUUAGCAUUACUGGAGAGAAAGAAAUAACCUAAGUUUUAAAAUUUUGAUCCAUAUCUAAUUGAAUUUGGAAUUCUUAAACUUUCUUUGAAAGUUUGUAUAUUUUAAUGGAUUAUGGUACUUUUAUUAUAAGUACAAAUUUAUUCAAUCAAAGAACAUAGGUUAACUUUAAUAGAGUCACUAUAUCUUAAUGGGAAUUUCUAAUAUAUUUUCUUUUUCCAUUCAUUCUUCCCUUUUUCUCUCUGUUUCACCCCAAAACAUGCCCUUUGCACUUAUACCCUUCCAAAGGCAAUGGAUUGAAAGUAGCAAGAUUAUAAAGAGCGAUAAAGGGAACAGCAUGUAAAAAAUGGGUUCUAAAUUCAUCAGCAUUUUUAUGUAUUGAGAUUAUUAAUAUCGAAUGCAAUAGUUAUUGGAGAUAGCUGGUAAAUUCUCUGCCAUGCAUACUUACAAUAAUCCUUCUACCUCUCACUUUUAACAUGGGCUAUGAUACUUCAAUAUAAAUAGAAGAAAUAAUUAUGUACAAGAUAUCCCAGGAAGCACUCUUUUGGGACCAUAUUAACGGUCCACUCCCCACUCCCUGGGAAAUCUCAAAAGCCAACUUUACUUUCAGUGUAUACAGAGGUGUAUGGAUAUGCAUUUGUUUUUCCUUUUCUAUCAUUAACUUUUCCUAUAAGCAAAAUACAAUAACUUUAUAAGGAUAGUUCUUCUCAUGCCUACUUCCUAUUUCAAUGUGAUAUAAUUGUGUUGAUUUAAAAAAAUUUAAAUGGCAACACUUUGCAAUCCAAUAUCUGUUUCAUUUAAUAUUUAAAAUACACAAUUUCUUAUAAAUUCUGUCUUUUAAGCAAAAAUUAUACAUAUGAUUUAUUUUCCCAAGAAGUGUUAUCUGUGUAAGAAAAAUAUUUAAAGUAUUUAAUAAUGCCAUAUUAACAAAUAAACCCUGAAUAAUAACAAUGCAAAGUAUUGCCACAAAUACCCACUUUAUUUUGUCUGCAUAGACAUAAUACCAAUUCUUCAAAUGAUGUAAUUUAAUUAUUCUAAAAGGAAAAUGACAUUUUGAAAGCAGAUUUUUCCUUUAGAAAAAAAAAGAUAAAAAAUUAUCUCCAAUUAUGAUGCUGAAUCUAUAAAAUAUGCUUAAAGUAAGACAUUUCUGUUAUGUGGUUAUGUUACAAGUAAUAUUUGGUGUGAUCUUUACCAUCUUUCUCAUAUAUGUUAUAAAAAAUGUAUGGUUAUUUUGGAGAGAAUGGGCCCAAAUGUGAAAAGGAUGUAAAGAAAAAAACCACUAUUUUCCCCUAUGAAAUAUAUUGUAUAUUUCAAAAGAAGAAACUUAAAAGAUUUUUGAAGAUUGCAGGGGCAAAGGAAAACCUACCAGGGCUCAGCACUUAAGCACUUUUCCCACAUCCAGGGUCAGAACAGCAGUAAUUCCUACAUGGACUUUUAAGUGCGGUAUGAAAUGCCACAUUACACUUCUCUUACACACAGUACUGUCAAACCUCAAAAGUUUUCUUUCUUCAGAUGCUUUUCCUUGUACAUGAUACUAGUAGACACUUUUCUCUUUAUAUUUGCUGAUAGUGAAAGUUAUAUGCAAUAAAAUAUUUGAUGGUUGAAAGCAGUGGUCACCAGUUGGUUAAAAAAAAAAAACUAUGAAAUGUAAACUGAAUUGUUCUCUUUUUUGCUUUUCUCUGUGUUUCUAAUGUAUUGACUGAGUCUCAUAAAUAGAAAGAAAAUAACUUAGAAAAAUUUCAAAUCUAGUACUCUUUUUCCUUAUAAAUGUAUAAAAUUAAUCUCUUUACAAAUUUAUUUAACUGUACCUGCUGUACUUAUUGUAGAUUCAAUGAUGCAGUUAAGUAGUAACCCAAGGAUUUAUGAGUUUGGGAUUACUGACCUAUUUUUUUUUUUCAUAUUCAGUUCACAUCAAUAUUUGCGAAUUGGUUGUUUAGCUUUUCAGUCAACCAAGAAAUAUUCCCUCGUGAAAGCUCCAUUUUUAUCAUAAAUAUUUCAACAUAACAAACAUCAGAACAAGUCUGCCAUGUUAAAAAGAAUUUAAAGACUUAUCUCUGAAAAUGGUACCCAGAAAUGCAGGUUUCCCAGUGAUGUAGCUUCAAAAAUAAAAUGUUCUAUUUAUAUGACAUGAAAUUCAUAACUUUUGGAAGGGUAUAUUUAUGACAGCAUAAAAAUAAAUUCUGUGCUAUAAAGAAGAUGCAAUGAAAUCAAGCAUAUUGCACAGAAGGUAGAGAAACACAAUUAUUGAAUCUACUAUUAUCAUUAACAUUUUCAAGAACCAAAAUGCAUAUUGUAAUAUUAGGUACAUGACACUUGCAUGUUGAUAUGCCUAUAUACUUACAAAGUAUUCAAUGUGUACUUAGUGGCGCUUAAACUAUGUCAUGUACAACUCUUAUAAACAUUCUUACAGGGUUCCCAUUUGCACUUCAUCUUUUGGUAAAGUUUUGUCAGAAAAGAAUUGUCUGAUAUAUAUGGAAAAAUAAAAUUUGAAUUUUAGUUACCCGUUGGACAUUACUGAAUGGUCUAUUCAUUUAGUUCAUUUUCUUAGGCUUGUUAAAAGACACUGAAAGGUGGAAUUUUUUUCUCCCACUGACAGAUUAUAAAAGAUGUUAUAAAAUAUAUUCCUUUAUGCCUUUACUUUGCAUAUCUUUUUUCAACUGCAUAUAUUAUCCAUUCAUUUUAGGUUUCUUCAGUGAUGCCCAUUUUCUUUGUAAAUUUCUAAAUGGAAGUUUUAAAAAUUAAGCAGUGGUAAAACAAAUGUUAUCUUAUUUGUACAUUUAAUCGUUACUCCUUGGAAUAUAUGAACCUUGUAAUAUGCUGACUAAGGGUUAAGAAAAUGUUGCUGACUUAGGAAAUUUGCUUGAGAUUGCCAAAAUUCCAAAACUCUGUAAAAGUAAUUUUACAAUCACUUUUGUGUGUUUACUAAUGUUGACUAGGAACAAAGCAAAAACACUUAAACAUUUUUUUUUUAAUUUUCACAUUCUAACCAGUAUUAUAUAUUUCAACUACCUAAGAUAAUGCAAUUAGUAUUAUAUCCAUCCUAAGCUUAUGCCAAUAAGAAUUUGAGAUAAGCUUUUAAAUUUAUGGAGGAUUUUCUUUGUGUCUUUGGAAGUUCACUUACCAUAAGGUAUUUUAUAGUCUACUUUAAAUAACAGAUUUUGUUAUACAGGGUAAGCCAAAGGCUGUACAAGAAUUAGUGUCAUUGGGUCUGAUAUUUGUGUUAGACCAUGAAAUAUUCCAUUAAAAUUUAUCUGU